UGGGGAAGUGCCUCUGAACCACAAACCAUUUUGAAUGAAGUAGGUCCCGUCCGAUGGUGCAGCCAUGUUGGCAGGAGAGCCCUUACGCCUUGAAAUGGCUCUCCCAUCCUGGCACUCAGCGGUGAUGUCCAAAGCUCCCAUCCAGUUUCCUCCUGGAGAGCAGUCGUUAAUGCAUUCGUGUGUUUCAUUUUCUUGGAUGAAACACGUGU
Long non-coding RNA from Syngnathus acus (greater pipefish), 209 nucleotides. RefSeq lists it as uncharacterized. The record is from RefSeq and is a predicted model, not a curated record. NCBI's taxonomy places the organism in Eukaryota, Metazoa, Chordata, Actinopteri, Syngnathiformes, Syngnathidae. The transcript has 3 exons.